AAUUGUAUUAAAGUAAUCCAGGCUUAGAUAUACUGUCCUGAUGUUUGCUGUAUCUAAGUCACAGUUCUAAGGAUUUGAAAACCACACACUCUUCUCCCUCGUCUCACUCUCCCAGCAUGCCCAUAAGGGUGAAGAUUUUAAUGGUGCCCACUCCAUAAAGUAGUUAUGAGAAUCCUAUGGGGUAAUAUUUAUAUGAUUCUUGGAAUUAUGACUGGAAUGUAGUAAGUGCUACAUGAAUGUUUGUUAAACACACAUCAAAAAGAGUACUCUGUCUUUUCAAAUCCAUAAGUGUCCGGUUGUUCCAGUGUCGUUUGUGGAAGGAACCAUUCUCCCCCAACACGCUGCUACACAAAAACCACAAGGGGUAGCCUUAGAGAAAGAGCACGAAAGGAAUGGAUUUCUGACGGAGUCUGCAUGAGCAAAGUAUUAUUUCUCUCUCACAAUUACCGUAAAAUUUGCGGAUGGAGAU
This is a non-coding RNA of Peromyscus maniculatus bairdii (prairie deer mouse), 469 nucleotides long. The record is from RefSeq and is a predicted model, not a curated record. Lineage: Eukaryota; Metazoa; Chordata; Mammalia; Rodentia; Cricetidae.